UUGGAGGGCAAGUCUGGUGCCAGCAGCCGCGGUAAUUCCAGCUCCAAUAGCGUAUAUUAAAGUUGUUGCAGUUAAAAAGCUCGUAGUUGAAUUUCGGGAUCAAUACGUCGGUCGUGCUUUUUUGGUACGCACUGGCGUCAUUGGUUUCUCCUUUCUGACGAACCAUGAUGUCAUUAAUUUGGUGUUAUGGGGAGUUAGGACUGUUACUUUGAAAAAAUUAGAGUGUUUAAAGCAGGCAUUAGCUUGAAUACAUUAGCAUGGAAUAAUGAAAUAGGACGUUCGAUCCUAUUUUGUUGGUUUCUAGGAUCAACGUAAUGAUUAAUAGGGAUAGUUGGGGGCAUUAGUAUUCAAUUGUCAGAGGUGAAAUUCUUGGAUUUAUUGAAGACUAACUACUGCGAAAGCAUUUGCCAAGGAUGUUUUCAUUAAUCAAGAACGAAAGUUAGGGGAUCGAAGACGAUCAGAUACCGUCGUAGUCUUAACCAUAAUCUAUGCCGACUAGGGAUCGGAUGAUGUUAAUUUUUUAAUGACUCAUUCGGCGCCUUACGGGAAAC
Molecule: ribosomal RNA, 551 nt
Filed under: uncultured Glomeromycotina
Lineage: Eukaryota; Fungi; Glomeromycota
Description: SSU rRNA
Rfam family: Eukaryotic small subunit ribosomal RNA
Source: RNAcentral